UGCCAGCCCUGGAAAAUGUGCUCACUGGAUGGGGGUGUGCAAAACUGAUGGCCCGUCUGGGCCAAAAGCAAAACCAGAGCCAAAGAGAAAGCCAUGUGCUCGCAAAUGCGGGACACGUACUUGCGCUAUAAUUAUUUCGUACGUGAGCACGUGAGCCCGCCGAAAGACAAUGAGUCGCCGUAGCCGGAGAAAUGGAAAACGCAGCCUGGAGUUCGAAGACCUGAGUCCGGAGAGCGUCUGCUGCGUCUGCGGCCGGAAGAAGACGAGUCGGACGCGCUAAGGUUAGCAUAUAGCACAUCAGAGAGAUUAAAGUGUGGACUUCCUUCGCAUAAAAUAAUAAUGCUGUGCAUCAUAAGAACCCGACAAAGGCAACACGUGGCUACAGUUUUGGUCCCCCAAUCGCUAAUUUUCACACAGCCCCACAGCGUGACAUAAGGAAAAAUUUAUUGUCAUUACCUUGAAAGUUGGCCGGAAAGUCUUGGCGUCAUAUUGGCAGAUUUAUCAUCGUUUAUAUUAAUGGCUCUUUAUUACAAGCUUUCAUAUCGAUACGGAAUCCAACUUAAGCAGUAGAAUAUACAACUUCCUGCUUUGGAUAGACCUCAUCCAGAGUCAGCACUUUGGAAGCAUAUAUCUAAUUAAAGGACUGUCCCCUUGGUUCCCAACUGGUCCACAUCUCAUCCACGUCGUCAUUAGCAUCGUCAUGAUCGGAAUAAAUGAAAGCACCCAACCACUACGACCGCAUGCAGCUUAAUUCUCAUAAAAGUCACAUAAAGUAAAUAAGUUUGAUUAUAAGCCACAGAAAGGGGAACACAACAGAGUGAAAAAAUGGGUGCAAAGGAAGUACACAGCGAGAAAAAUACAUAAUGAAUUCAUAUUGCGAAAGCAGAAAUUUAAUUGUUAGGCGGUCAUUUAAAGGACUUAUUAAAAUACUUCUUGCUUCAUUUCAAGUUUAAUGAUAGGAUUUGAUUUAUG
This is a long non-coding RNA of Drosophila simulans, 972 nucleotides long. RefSeq lists it as uncharacterized. The transcript has 4 exons. The record is from RefSeq and is a predicted model, not a curated record. Lineage: Eukaryota; Metazoa; Arthropoda; Insecta; Diptera; Drosophilidae.